RNAcentral lists this transfer RNA (63 nucleotides) under Taenia saginata (beef tapeworm). RNAcentral's name for it is "tRNA-Tyr". The record is from RNAcentral. Lineage: Eukaryota; Metazoa; Platyhelminthes; Cestoda; Cyclophyllidea; Taeniidae.
UCUAGUUUAGCAUAUUUUAAUGUGGGGGGUUGUAAACUCUUUGAAGGCUAUGGCCAAUUAGGA